GCCCGGGUGGUGGAAUUGGUAGACACGACGGACUUAAAAUCCGUUGACUUUUAGUCAUGGGGGUUCAAGUCCCCCCCCGGGCACCA
RNAcentral lists this transfer RNA (86 nucleotides) under Deltaproteobacteria bacterium. Its description in RNAcentral is "tRNA-Leu". It matches the Rfam family "tRNA". From Rfam's summary of the family: Transfer RNA (tRNA) molecules are approximately 80 nucleotides in length. Their secondary structure includes four short double-helical elements and three loops (D, anti-codon, and T loops). The record is from RNAcentral. Lineage: Bacteria; Pseudomonadati; Myxococcota; Myxococcia.